Molecule: ribosomal RNA, 306 nt
Filed under: uncultured bacterium
Lineage: Bacteria
Description: partial 16S ribosomal RNA
Rfam family: Bacterial small subunit ribosomal RNA
Source: RNAcentral
GACAGCAGCCGCCACGGGAAUACGGAGGGGGCUAGCGUUGUUCGGAAUUACUGGGCGUAAAGCGCACGUAGGCGGCUUGGUAAGUUAGAGGUGAAAGCCUGGAGCUCAACUCCAGAAUUGCCUUUAAGACUGCCGAGCUAGCAGGUGAGAGAGGUAAGUGGGAUUCCGAGUGUAGAGGUGAAAUUCGUAGAUAUUCGGAAGAACACCAGUGGCGAAGGCGGCUUACUGGCUCAUACUGGACGCUGAGAUGCGAAAGCGUGGGGAGCAAACAGGAUUAGAUACCCCUGUAGUCCCUGUCUCUUAUAC